ACGCUCGACACCUACGGGGCAGCAGUUGGGAAUAUUGGACAAUGGAGGAAACUCUGAUCCAGUGACGCCGCGUGAAGGAAGAAGGUCUUCGGAUUGUAAACUUAUUUUGUCAGGGAAGAAAAAUGACUGUACCUGAAGAAAAAGCACCGGCUAACUACGUGCCAGCAGCCGUGGUAAUCUGAGCGGGCUGGCAAGGC
This 197-nucleotide ribosomal RNA is filed under the name uncultured bacterium. Its description in RNAcentral is "partial 16S ribosomal RNA". It matches the Rfam family "Bacterial small subunit ribosomal RNA", at positions 326 to 539 of the family's 1533-position model. The record is from RNAcentral.